Molecule: ribosomal RNA, 484 nt
Filed under: uncultured bacterium
Lineage: Bacteria
Description: partial 16S ribosomal RNA
Rfam family: Bacterial small subunit ribosomal RNA
Source: RNAcentral
AUUGAACGCUGGCGGCAGGCCUAACACAUGCAAGUCGAGCGGAUGAAGGGAGCUUGCUCCUGGAUUCAGCGGCGGACGGGUGAGUAAUGCCUAGGAAUCUGCCUGGUAGUGGGGGAUAACGUCCGGAAACGGGCGCUAAUACCGCAUACGUCCUGAGGGAGAAAGUGGGGGAUCUUCGGACCUCACGCUAUCAGAUGAGCCUAGGUCGGAUUAGCUAGUUGGUGGGGUAAAGGCCUACCAAGGCGACGAUCCGUAACUGGUCUGAGAGGAUGAUCAGUCACACUGGAACUGAGACACGGUCCAGACUCCUACGGGAGGCAGCAGUGGGGAAUAUUGGACAAUGGGCGAAAGCCUGAUCCAGCCAUGCCGCGUGUGCGAAGAAGGCCUUCGGAUUGUAAAGCACUUUAAGUUGGGAGGAAGGGCAGUAAGUUAAUACCUUGCUGUUUUGACGUUACCAACAGAAUAAGCACCGGCUAACUUCGUG